RNAcentral lists this ribosomal RNA (312 nucleotides) under Triticum aestivum (bread wheat). Its description in RNAcentral is "partial small subunit ribosomal RNA". Lineage: Eukaryota; Viridiplantae; Streptophyta; Magnoliopsida; Poales; Poaceae. The record is from RNAcentral.
AUGGUUAAAAGUGAUAUGCACACAACUUUUCCCUUAGUUUACCGUCUGGUUGAGUUAGCAUUGAUUUUACCUGUUGCAACCGCAACCGUGGAUAGGGCAUUCUCAGCAAUGAGCAUUAUCAAGACCGGAUUGAGGAACAAAAUGGGUGAUGAUUGGAUGAAUCAUAGAAUUGUAUGUUACAUUGAGAGAGAUGUAUUAGUUACUAUAGAAGAAUCCAAAAUCAUUGAGCGAUUUCAAGGUUAUCGCACACGUAAAGGUGUUUUGCCUCGUCCUACACGUAAGUUUUCACAUUUUGCAUCUAUCGUUAAUUAG